UUGGUGUUCCACCUUACAGUGG
Molecule: microRNA, 22 nt
Filed under: Polistes canadensis
Lineage: Eukaryota; Metazoa; Arthropoda; Insecta; Hymenoptera; Vespidae
Description: pca-miR-971-3p
Gene: pca-miR-971-3p
Source: miRBase by way of RNAcentral